Molecule: transfer RNA, 73 nt
Filed under: Eubacteriales bacterium
Lineage: Bacteria; Bacillati; Bacillota; Clostridia; Eubacteriales
Description: tRNA-Asp
Rfam family: tRNA
About the family: Transfer RNA (tRNA) molecules are approximately 80 nucleotides in length. Their secondary structure includes four short double-helical elements and three loops (D, anti-codon, and T loops).
Source: RNAcentral
UGGCUUCAUCGUAUAACGGCCAGUACACCGGACUGUCUCUCCGGAGGCGCGGGUUCGAUUCCCGCUGGAGCAG